This 1346-nucleotide ribosomal RNA is filed under the name uncultured bacterium. RNAcentral describes it as "partial 16S ribosomal RNA". It matches the Rfam family "Bacterial small subunit ribosomal RNA", at positions 28 to 1381 of the family's 1533-position model. The record is from RNAcentral.
GACGAACGCUGGCGGCGUGCUUAACACAUGCAAGUCGAACGGAAAGGCCCUGCUUUUGUGGGGUGCUCGAGUGGCGAACGGGUGAGUAACACGUGAGUAACCUGCCCUUGACUUUGGGAUAACUUCAGGAAACUGGGGCUAAUACCGGAUAGGAGCUCCUGCUGCAUGGUGGGGGUUGGAAAGUUUCGGCGGUUGGGGAUGGACUCGCGGCUUAUCAGCUUGUUGGUGGGGUAGUGGCUUACCAAGGCUUUGACGGGUAGCCGGCCUGAGAGGGUGACCGGCCACAUUGGGACUGAGAUACGGCCCAGACUCCUACGGGAGGCAGCAGUGGGGAAUAUUGCACAAUGGGCGGAAGCCUGAUGCAGCAACGCCGCGUGCGGGAUGACGGCCUUCGGGUUGUAAACCGCUUUCGCCUGUGACGAAGCGUGAGUGACGGUAAUGGGUAAAGAAGCACCGGCUAACUACGUGCCAGCAGCCGCGGUGAUACGUAGGGUGCGAGCGUUGUCCGGAUUUAUUGGGCGUAAAGGGCUCGUAGGUGGUUGAUCGCGUCGGAAGUGUAAUCUUGGGGCUUAACCCUGAGCGUGCUUUCGAUACGGGUUGACUUGAGGAAGGUAGGGGAGAAUGGAAUUCCUGGUGGAGCGGUGGAAUGCGCAGAUAUCAGGAGGAACACCAGUGGCGAAGGCGGUUCUCUGGGCCUUUCCUGACGCUGAGGAGCGAAAGCGUGGGGAGCGAACAGGCUUAGAUACCCUGGUAGUCCACGCUGUAAACGGUGGGUACUAGGUGUGGGGUCCAUUCCACGGGUUCCGUGCCGUAGCUAACGCUUUAAGUACCCCGCCUGGGGAGUACGGCCGCAAGGCUAAAAUUCAAAGGAAUUGACGGGGCCCCGCACAAGCGGCGGAGCAUGCGGAUUAAUUCGAUGCAACGCGUAGAACCUUACCUGGGUUUGACAUGGAUCGGGAGUGCUCAGAGAUGGGUGUGCCUCUUUUGGGGUCGGUUCACAGGUGGUGCAUGGCUGUCGUCGGCUCGUGUCGUGAGAUGUUGGGUUAAGUCCCGCAACGAGCGCAACCCUUGUUCACUGUUGCCAGCACGUUAUGGUGGGGACUCAGUGGAGACCGCCGGGGUCAACUCGGAGGAAGGUGGGGAUGACGUCAAGUCAUCAUGCCCCUUAUGUCCAGGGCUUCACGCAUGCUACAAUGGCUGGUACAGAGAGUGGCGAGCCUGUGAGGGUGAGCGAAUCUCGGAAAGCCGGUCUCAGUUCGGAUUGGGGUCUGCAACUCGACCUCAUGAAGUCGGAGUCGCUAGUAAUCGCAGAUCAGCAACGCUGCGGUGAAUACGUUCCCGGGGCU